This 651-nucleotide ribosomal RNA is filed under the name uncultured Bacilli bacterium. RNAcentral describes it as "bacterial SSU rRNA". It matches the Rfam family "Bacterial small subunit ribosomal RNA", at positions 80 to 719 of the family's 1533-position model. The record is from RNAcentral. Lineage: Bacteria; Bacillati; Bacillota; Bacilli.
GCUCUUUCCGGAUGAGUUGCGAACGGGUGGGUAACGCGUAGGUAACCUGCCUGGUAGCGGGGGAUAACUAUUGGAAACGAUAGCUAAUACCGCAUAACAGUAGAUGUUGCAUGACAUCUGCUUGAAAGGGGCAAUUGCUCCACUACCAGAUGGACCUGCGUUGUAUUAGCUAGUUGGUGAGGUAACGGCUCACCAAGGCGACGAUACAUAGCCGACCUGAGAGGGUGAUCGGCCACACUGGGACUGAGACACGGCCCAGACUCCUACGGGAGGCAGCAGUAGGGAAUCUUCGGCAAUGGACGGAAGUCUGACCGAGCAACGCCGCGUGAGUGAAGAAGGUUUUCGGAUCGUAAAGCUCUGUUGUAAGAGAAGAACGAGUGUGAGAGUGGAAAGUUCACACUGUGACGGUAUCUUACCAGAAAGGGACGGCUAACUACGUGCCAGCAGCCGCGGUAAUACGUAGGUCCCGAGCGUUAUCCGGAUUUAUUGAGCGUAAAGCGAGCGCAGGCGGUUAGAUAAGUCUGAAGUUAAAGGCUGUGGCUUAACCAUAGUACGCUUUGGAAACUGUUUAACUUGAGUGCAAGAGGGGAGAGUGGAAUUCCAUGUGUAGCGGUGAAAUGCGUAGAUAUAUGGAGGAACACCGGUGGCGAA